This 442-nucleotide ribosomal RNA is filed under the name uncultured bacterium. RNAcentral describes it as "partial 16S ribosomal RNA". It matches the Rfam family "Bacterial small subunit ribosomal RNA", at positions 338 to 795 of the family's 1533-position model. The record is from RNAcentral.
CCUACGGGUGGCAGCAGUGGGGAAUCUUGCACAAUGGGCGAAAGCCUGAUGCCGCAACGCCGCGUGAGCGAAGAAGGCCUUUGGGUCGUAAAGCUCUUUCCUAAGGGAAGAAGGAAGUGACGGUACCUUAGUAGUCAGCCCCGGUUACCUACGUGCCAGAGGCCGCGGUACUACGUAGGGGGCACGCGUUAUCCGGAUUUAUUGGGCGUAAAGAUUACGUAGGGGGUUCUUUAAGCGUAGGGUUUAAGGCGAGGGCUUAACCAUCGUUCGCCCUGUGCACUGGAGGACUUGAGUAUCGGAGAGGAAAGCGGAAUUCCUAGUGUAGCGGUGAAAUGCGUAGAUAUUAGGAGGAACACCAGUGGCGAAGGCGGCUUUCUGGACGAAAACUGACGCUGAGGUACGAAAGCGUGGGGAGCAAACAGGAUGAGAUACCCGUGUAGUC